GACGAACGCUGGCGGCGUGCUUAACACAUGCAAGUCGAACGAAGAGCGAUGGAAGCUUGCUUCUAUCAAUCUUAGUGGCGAACGGGUGAGUAACGCGUAAUCAACCUGCCCUUCAGAGGGGGACAACAGUUGGAAACGACUGCUAAUACCGCAUACGCUCUAAUCUCGGCAUCGAGGAUAGAUGAAAGGUGGCCUCUACAUGUAAGCUAUCACUGAAGGAGGGGAUUGCGUCUGAUUAGCUAGUUGGAGGGGUAACGGCCCACCAAGGCGAUGAUCAGUAGCCGGUCUGAGAGGAUGAACGGCCACAUUGGGACUGAGACACGGCCCAGACUCCUACGGGAGGCAGCAGUGGGGAAUCUUCCGCAAUGGACGAAAGUCUGACGGAGCAACGCCGCGUGAGUGAUGACGGCCUUCGGGUUGUAAAGCUCUGUUAAUCGGGACGAAAGGCCUUCUUGCGAAUAGUGAGAAGGAUUGACGGUACCGGAAGAGAAAGCCACGGCUAACUACGUG
Molecule: ribosomal RNA, 510 nt
Filed under: uncultured bacterium
Lineage: Bacteria
Description: partial 16S ribosomal RNA
Rfam family: Bacterial small subunit ribosomal RNA
Source: RNAcentral